RNAcentral lists this ribosomal RNA (591 nucleotides) under uncultured Staphylococcus sp. RNAcentral's name for it is "bacterial SSU rRNA". It matches the Rfam family "Bacterial small subunit ribosomal RNA", at positions 1 to 574 of the family's 1533-position model. The record is from RNAcentral. Lineage: Bacteria; Bacillati; Bacillota; Bacilli; Caryophanales; Staphylococcaceae.
CGCCCUUAGAGUUUGAUCCUGGCUCAGGAUGAACGCUGGCGGCGUGCCUAAUACAUGCAAGUCGAGCGAACAGAUAAGGAGCUUGCUCCUUUGACGUUAGCGGCGGACGGGUGAGUAACACGUGGAUAACCUACCUAUAAGACUGGGAUAACUUCGGGAAACCGGAGCUAAUACCGGAUAACAUAUUGAACCGCAUGGUUCAAUAGUGAAAGGCGGCUUUGCUGUCACUUAUAGAUGGAUCCGCGCCGUAUUAGCUAGUUGGUAAGGUAACGGCUUACCAAGGCAACGAUACGUAGCCGACCUGAGAGGGUGAUCGGCCACACUGGAACUGAGACACGGUCCAGACUCCUACGGGAGGCAGCAGUAGGGAAUCUUCCGCAAUGGGCGAAAGCCUGACGGAGCAACGCCGCGUGAGUGAUGAAGGUCUUCGGAUCGUAAAACUCUGUUAUCAGGGAAGAACAAAUGUGUAAGUAACUGUGCACAUCUUGACGGUACCUGAUCAGAAAGCCACGGCUAACUACGUGCCAGCAGCCGCGGUAAUACGUAGGUGGCAAGCGUUAUCCGGAAUUAUUGGGCGUAAAGCGCGCGUAG